UUAACCACAAAGACUAUGCUAUAAUUUACUCAAUAAUAAUACUUUCCCGACAGAAACCAUGUGCCACGGCCCACAUGUGCACGAUCGAGACCUAGGGACCGCACAAUGUAGACGAGCUAGCUGUGCUGGAGUUGUCGUUUAGUUUGGGUCAUCAUGUCCCAUUUCUCUACUAGUCUCCGCCUUUCAUGCUCUCUUGCAGAAAACACGCAAUUCUCAGUUUUCAUUGUCCGUUCUCUCAACUGUUUCUACUGCUGAAUCCUCAAGCUUUAUUCACCAAAAAAGAAAAAUAAUUCCUCAAAAUUUUCCUGUAGGUUUUCGGCUCUUUUGAUAUUAGUACUCAAAGUAAGGAUUGGAAGAAGCUGUAGCAGAUCCAUCUUUUGAUAUCUAAGACAAGGACAGGGGCUGCAUACGCACAAUUGAAGACCCAGGGGCGGGCAUUGGAGGCCAGCAGGUUGUUCUUUUCAUGUAAUAGUCUCGGCUGUUCAUGCUCUCACACAAUUAUUGGUUUUGAUUAAAGGUUCUCUUCUCUUUUGGCUUCACUACUCAACGUGAGGAUAGGAAGAAGCUGUAGCCGACCAAUCUUUUGAUAUCUAAGACAACGACAGAGGUUUUGUUAGUGAGCGUUCUUCCAAUUCAAAAGAAAAAA
Molecule: non-coding RNA, 646 nt
Organism: Durio zibethinus
Lineage: Eukaryota; Viridiplantae; Streptophyta; Magnoliopsida; Malvales; Malvaceae
Source: RefSeq, a predicted model, not a curated record